AGAGUUUGAUCAUGGCUCAGAUUGAACGCUGGCGGCAGGCCUAACACAUGCAAGUCGAGCGGUAGCACAGAGAGCUUGCUCUCGGGUGACGAGCGGCGGACGGGUGAGUAAUGUCUGGGAAACUGCCUGAUGGAGGGGGAUAACUACUGGAAACGGUAGCUAAUACCGCAUAAUGUCGCAAGACCAAAGUGGGGGACCUUCGGGCCUCAUGCCAUCAGAUGUGCCCAGAUGGGAUUAGCUAGUAGGUGGGGUAACGGCUCACCUAGGCGACGAUCCCUAGCUGGUCUGAGAGGAUGACCAGCCACACUGGAACUGAGACACGGUCCAGACUCCUACGGGAGGCAGCAGUGGGGAAUAUUGCACAAUGGGCGCAAGCCUGAUGCAGCCAUGCCGCGUGUGUGAAGAAGGCCUUCGGGUUGUAAAGCACUUUCAGCGGGGAGGAAGGCGGUAAGGUUAAUAACCUUGGCGAUUGACGUUACCCGCAGAAGAAG
This 491-nucleotide ribosomal RNA is filed under the name Klebsiella pneumoniae. Its description in RNAcentral is "bacterial SSU rRNA". It matches the Rfam family "Bacterial small subunit ribosomal RNA", at positions 8 to 490 of the family's 1533-position model. The record is from RNAcentral. Lineage: Bacteria; Pseudomonadati; Pseudomonadota; Gammaproteobacteria; Enterobacterales; Enterobacteriaceae.